GUCCACGCCCUAAACGAUGUCAACUAGUUGUUCGGUGAGGAGACUCAUUGAGUAACGCAGCUAACGCGUGAAGUUGACCGCCUGGGGAGUACGGCCGCAAGGUUAAAACUCAAAGGAAUUGACGGGGACCCCGCACAAGCGGUGGAUGAUGUGGAUUAAUUCGAUGCAACGCGAAAACCUUACCUACCCUUGACAUGUCAGGAAUCCUUGAGAGAUUGAGGAGUGCCCGAAAGGGAACCUGAACACAGGUGCUGCAUGGCUGUCGU
Molecule: ribosomal RNA, 266 nt
Filed under: uncultured bacterium
Lineage: Bacteria
Description: partial 16S ribosomal RNA
Rfam family: Bacterial small subunit ribosomal RNA
Source: RNAcentral